This 487-nucleotide transfer-messenger RNA is filed under the name Hyphomonadaceae bacterium. It matches the Rfam family "Alphaproteobacteria transfer-messenger RNA". Rfam says of the family: Bacterial tmRNA, also known as 10Sa RNA or SsrA, is named for its dual tRNA and mRNA-like properties. The record is from RNAcentral. Lineage: Bacteria; Pseudomonadati; Pseudomonadota; Alphaproteobacteria; Hyphomonadales; Hyphomonadaceae.
CGAUUUUGAGCUAGCGCCGACGCGCCCUAUAUUCCGACUCGUCCGGGCUUGCCCGGACUAUGGCGAUAAACGCGCGGAGAUAGGCGGAUCGGACCCGGGUGCGAUUCCCGGCGGCUCCACCAGCCUUCGCUCGCUUCGCGAGCUACGGCUAGGCAAGCCUGAGUGCUGACUUCGGGGCGAAGCGAGCGAAGGCUGUCUCGCCGAAGCCCGAAGGGCGAAGGCGGACCUAGGCGCAGCAAGCGUUGAGCGCAGGCGGACCUUUCGUUGGAAGUCCACGAGGGGCCGAACAGGAUCGACGGACGUUGAAGGACGUGGCUUUCGCUCGGGUGGUCCCGUUACAGGCCAAACAGCAAUAGUUGCCAACGACAACACUGCUGAGGGUUAUGCUCUCGCCGCGUAAGCGGUUGGAGGAAAACCCACUUUAAGCCCUGCGGUCUCGCAACCGCAGGCGGGGCUCCCCGGCGCCCGGCAACAGAAGCCGGGGAUU